GGCUCGAUGGCAGAGUGGUAAUGCGUCCAUAUCCUUUGAUCUUGAGGCUCCUUGUGGUUUCUGCGGAGUUCGCCUGUUCGAACCAGGCUCGAGCCA
This is a non-coding RNA of Mycena leptocephala, 96 nucleotides long. The record is from the annotation of a GenBank genome assembly. NCBI's taxonomy places the organism in Eukaryota, Fungi, Basidiomycota, Agaricomycetes, Agaricales, Mycenaceae.